UAGUCCACGCUGUAAACGAUGUCGAUUUGGAGGUUGUGCCCUUGAGGCGUGGCUUCCGGAGCUAACGCGUUAAAUCGACCGCCUGGGGAGUACGGCCGCAAGGUUAAAACUCAAAUGAAUUGACGGGGGCCCGCACAAGCGGUGGAGCAUGUGGUUUAAUUCGAUGCAACGCGAAGAACCUUACCUACUCUUGACAUCCAGAGAACUUAGCAGAGAUGCUUUGGUGCCUUCGGGAACUCUGAGACAGGUGCUGCAUGGCUGUCGUCAGCUCGUGUUGUGAAAUGUUGGGUUAAGUCCCGCAACGAGCGCAACCCUUAUCCUUUGUUGCCAGCGGUUCGGCCGGGAACUCAAAGGAGACUGCCAGUGAUAAACUGGAGGAAGGUGGGGAUGACGUCAAGUCAUCAUGGCCCUUACGAGUAGGGCUACACACGUGCUACAAUGGCAUAUACAAAGAGAAGCGACCUCGCGAGAGCAAGCGGACCUCAUAAAGUAUGUCGUAGUCCGGAUUGGAGUCUGCAACUCGACUCCAUGAAGUCGGAAUCGCUAGUAAUCGUAGAUCAGAAUGCUACGGUGAAUACGUUCCCGGGCCUUGUACACACCGCCCGUCACACCAUGGGAGUGGGUUGCAAAAGAAGUAGGUAGCUUAACCUUCGGGAGGGCGCUUACCACUUUGUGAUUCAUGACUGGG
RNAcentral lists this ribosomal RNA (688 nucleotides) under uncultured Serratia sp. RNAcentral describes it as "bacterial SSU rRNA". It matches the Rfam family "Bacterial small subunit ribosomal RNA", at positions 791 to 1479 of the family's 1533-position model. Lineage: Bacteria; Pseudomonadati; Pseudomonadota; Gammaproteobacteria; Enterobacterales; Yersiniaceae. The record is from RNAcentral.